GACGUUCAUGAGCAUUCAACAAAUAGGGUUCUUCAGCUGUCCUUGUAGGAGAACCCCAGCUAGAACCGGCAGCUAGAAAGGGCUCUUUGUGGGAUCAUCAACGUUUUUCCCCGACAGAAACAGCUUAAGAACCCUUUUGGAAACGUUCUCAGGAGAGCACUUUAUAAAUACUUAAAUCACACCAGAGUUAAUACCAAUACCAAGAAAGUAUCUUUUCUUGUAUCUUGUAUCUUUCACAGUAAAUACAGUUUGUGAAUGUUACUGAUUCGUUGCACAUUCUUGAGAUGGAUCAUAUGAAGUAGGUCACCACCUAACCCAAUGUAAUGUUGCACCCUGGGGAUGGUUUUGGUGCCCCACUUAUAAACCUAAUGUAAAGGUGUAAAGUCACUGUCCCCAUAUCAAUUUCGCAGUGAUAAAAAGGGUUUGAUCAAACUGUGUCCAUGCAAAAUGAAUGCUUUCAGUGUGCAUCAAUGACACAGAGGGUGCCCUGUUUGCUUACAAAAGUAGUCAUUUGUAUUGUUAAAACUGAGUGAUAGUAGUUGUUGAUAUUGUUAAGACUGUUAAGAAGGGAUGUAACGAUGCGCUCCUAGACGGUUUAAAAUCGAUGAAAAUAUGUGACGAUUCAAGUCGUUUGAGAUGUUAAACGAAUCGCGAUACACAUUUUAAACAGCAGGUGCGCUGAAGCUGUAUACUUUGGCCUUUAUAGGCUCGAUAGCAGCGAGCAAGUUGUAGCGCUAAACAAUAGCACACAUGGCGGGGGCAAGUGUGGAUGUUGAUAUUGAGGAUGCCCCAUCCUCAUUCAAAUCAGAGGUGUGCCGGCAUUUUGGCUUUCCGAAAACUAAAAAUGAACGCGGUGAGUUAGUAACAGAAAAAAAAAAAUGGGUGCAGAUACUGCAAGAAGAUUUUAAUAUACACUAAUAGCACAACAAACAUGAUGCAGCAUACAAACCGUGACCACAGUGAGAAGCUCCAGACACCUCCACCUCCCAGUAAAAAGCUAUUAACAGGUCAAACCACACUGACUGGCGGAUUUGCAGCCCCACUCGCGGCGACGAGAGCGAGAGCCACGGAGAUAACAAGGUGCACCAGUGUUUUCAUGGCAAAAGAUAUGAGGCCGUUUUCUGUCGUAGAAAUUGAAGGAUUUCGGCUACUGGUGAACAUUUUGGAGCCCAAGUACACCAUCCCAUCACGCCCCCACUGUAGCCAGACAGUCAUGCCAGCGCUUUACAGGGAAACAAAAUCUAAGGUAAUUGAGACCCUCAUAAAAGCAGAUAGCGUAUCAAUUACAACCGACAGCUGGACCUCUAGGGCUACACAUAGUUAUCUUACGGUCACAGCCCAUUUGAUAACCAGCAGGUGGGAGAUUUUGUUCUCCAAACUUGCCCUCUGUUUAAAACACACACCAGGGUUAAUAUUGCUGAAGUUUUAAAAUCAGCUGUGAGUGAAUGGGUUCUUCAAAAGGCCAGCCAAGGAAUUGCUGUUGUCACGGACAACGCGAGGAAUAUAGAUGUUGCUGUCAGAGAGGCUGUGGUGGCACCCCAUGUCAAGUGUUUUGCCCACACUUUGAACUUAGCCAGCCAAGCGGGUUUGAGUGUAUUCCGCGUGAGUCGUUUGCUGGGCAGAGUGAGGUGCAUUGCUGCCUUCUUUCACUGAAGCUCCAUAGCCACAGCUGCACUCGCAGCCAAACAGACACUACUGGAGCUUCCAGCGCACAAGUUAAUCAUCGAUGUCACUACGCGCUGGAACAGCAGUCUGGAUAUGGUUGAACGCUAUCUGGAACAGCAGUCUGGAUAUGGUUGAACGCUAUCUGGAACAGCAGUCUGGAUAUGGUUGAACGCUAUCUGGAACAGCAGUCUGGAUAUGAUUGAACGCUAUCUGGAACAGCAGUCUGGAUAUGAUUGAACGCUAUCUGGAACAGCAGUCUGGAUAUGAUUGAACGCUAUCUGGAACAGCAGUCUGGAUAUGGGCGAACGCUAUCUGGAACAGCAGUCUGGAUAUGGUCGAACGCUAUCUGGAACAGCAAGCGGCUGUGACAGCGACUCCUGAACAACGACGUUCGCCGAAAUGUCCGUGACAUUGAUACUUUGGAUGGCUCAGACAUCCGUGAUGUGGAGGACAAGCAUAUGAUCAAGCACAACAUGGCAUCCAUUGAAGAAGACUCCCUUACUGUGAGCAACAUGAUGAGAGCCAUACUGAACAACCUUUCAGACAGAUACACUUCAAACUACAACCACCUGCUGGAGUGCACUGCAUUAGACCCCAGAUUCCGGGCUCUGCCUCAUCUAGAGAAAGACCAGCGUGAGGAUGUAUUCCACAGACUGAAGGAGAAAGCUGUGCUGUUGUUGCAGAACCAGCAUGAAGGUGAAGAAGGUGCCAGUGGUCACCCCCCUGCAGCAGAGCAGCCUCUUGACAAGACAAACAGAGCAGGAGCUGAGCUGAAUCAACCUCCUUCCAAAAAAACAGCCUUGGAAGAUCUCCUUGGAGGCACUUUCAAUGAAUCAGUCAGAUUGAUGCAGAAAUGUAUUAGUACAGAGCUGAAACAUCAAUUUCCCUCAAUAGCUGUUCACUCAAGUGGUGGAAAGAGAAUGCUAGGCAGUAUCCACUGUUCUCUAGCCUAGCAAAAGCAUACCUCUCCACACCAGCCACCUCUAGUGAAAGGUUUUUUUCAUCAGCAGAUCUUAGCUUUUGCCGAAAAACUUGGAUAUGCUGAUAUUUCUUUAAAAAAAACAUGUAAAAAGAAAACCAAGCUAGGAAAGCCUUAGUUUGUUUAUAUGAAGAGAUUUCUUUUAUUUGUGUUAUUCAUUUAUU
This is a long non-coding RNA of Esox lucius (northern pike), 2808 nucleotides long. RefSeq lists it as uncharacterized. NCBI's taxonomy places the organism in Eukaryota, Metazoa, Chordata, Actinopteri, Esociformes, Esocidae. The record is from RefSeq and is a predicted model, not a curated record. The transcript is spliced from 3 exons.